This is a long non-coding RNA of Struthio camelus australis, 620 nucleotides long. RefSeq lists it as uncharacterized. The record is from RefSeq and is a predicted model, not a curated record. NCBI's taxonomy places the organism in Eukaryota, Metazoa, Chordata, Aves, Struthioniformes, Struthionidae.
AUAACAAACGGUGGGGAAAACGCACCUAUUUUCAGAAUGGUGCUUAAUUAAUAGCUUGUGAUAGAGUGCGACUGGACUUGAUCCUUCCAGUCCCUUUCUUAGGAAAACAAGGGGCUUAUCUCUUUUUUAUUAAUGCAUAGGAAUUUUUCACAGAGGUGAGAGUGAACCAGAACAUUUGCUGCAAACUUUCUUGAGCCUUGGAAAGCUUGGAUUCUGAUUCACACUCCCCAGCUGGAGCUCAGUUGGAGACAUAGGUUACGUUUAUACAUAUGCAGAGGAAGUAGAGCAAUUCUGUCAACUCAGAAGAAAGGAAUGAAGUUGAGUGAAGUUUUACAGCAUACGGUGCUGACACCUUCACAGUGUAACAGGACAAGCCAACACUUGAUGGAGUUCCUUUGUCCAAGGAGGUAUACAGGAGGUGACAUGAGAGUUUCCAGAAUGAAGAAAGAAAUUGGGCCAGACAUUCCAGAUCCUGAAGAAAUUGGUGCCUGUGGAGCUAUGGAUUUUUACCAGCAAAACAUCUGGCACAAUAUAAUGUUCAACAUGAGGAAUUUGCUUCUCUUUCCUCUUGUCAUUGGUGUGAGUCAAGAACAACUCCACUGAAGUUCACUUGAUAUAUC